This 768-nucleotide long non-coding RNA is filed under the name Sorghum bicolor (sorghum). RNAcentral's name for it is "long non-coding RNA (SBIC_LNC011890)". The record is from RNAcentral. Lineage: Eukaryota; Viridiplantae; Streptophyta; Magnoliopsida; Poales; Poaceae.
AUGUGGUUAAAUCAAGAUUUCACUUGCACGUUCACUCAUAUGUGCUACUUCUACUCCGGAAGUACCAUCCACAUAUAUCCACCCAUUCCAUCUCCAGAAUCACCCAAAAAUAUUCUGCUCCUAAUCCGGAAGAGAAUAACCAAAAAUAUUUCUGUUUUCCCCUUGUGAAAUAAAUGCUCAAGUUAUCUUGUUACUACCACUUGUUAUAUUAUCUCAAGAGAUGAAUGCUCUAAAAAAAGAGAUACGAGGAAAUAAAAAGGAGCAAGUGCUCGGAACCUCGAAAGAAAAGAAAGAGUGAGACGAGAGGUAAAAAUGGACAAGUGUCCGACAGUAGAAUUAGGGGUGCAAGAUACCCACCUGAGAGAAAAGAAAAAGAAGAGCAUCUCAUUCUCCUCAUAAAGUUUCAAAGGCAAGGAAGGUAUGUAUCCCCUCAAAAGAGCAAAGUAGAAUUAGACUUCCACCACCAUUGUUUUCACCAUUGUUAUCACCAGCAUCACCAUACACCAUUCAUUCGCCACACAUGCACAUCUUGAUUUGGCUUAUUGACUUGUUACUUUGGAUCCAUGGUUUGACUAUGCAAUAAAUGUCUUGUAAGUAUGUAUACUUUAUCUCCCACCUAUAAGCUCCAGAUAUUAAAGCCUUAUUAGAGUAGGGUGAGAGAGAAGGCAAUGUCACUAUGCCUUAUACCACAAAUACUACAUAUCUUGAGAGAAGGCAUAUACCAUCAAUGCCUUGGUAAGGAUCCAAAAAUACCACAAAAGAGAGACC